RNAcentral lists this transfer RNA (96 nucleotides) under Candidatus Zhuqueibacterota bacterium. RNAcentral describes it as "candidate division KSB1 bacterium (freshwater sediment metagenome) tRNA-Sec". It matches the Rfam family "Selenocysteine transfer RNA". The record is from RNAcentral. Lineage: Bacteria; Pseudomonadati.
GGGAAUGCAUGGGCGCCUGGUGGGCUCCGCAGACUUCAAAUCUGUUGUGUCCCGACAAUAGUCGGGAUAGGUGGGUUCGAUUCCCACACAUUCCCG